UUGAUUACGUCCCUGCCCUUUGUACACACCGCCCGUCGCUGCCCGGGACUGAGCCGUUUCGAGAAAAGCGGAGACUGCUGUUUUGAUACCUUUCGGGGUGGGGAUUCUUUGGUGGAAACCGCUUUAAUCGCAGUGGCUUGAACCGGGCAAAAGUCGUAACAAGGUUUCCGUAGGUGAACCUGCGGAAGGAUCAUUA
This 196-nucleotide ribosomal RNA is filed under the name Onchocerca volvulus. Its description in RNAcentral is "partial 18S ribosomal RNA". It matches the Rfam family "Eukaryotic small subunit ribosomal RNA", at positions 1641 to 1831 of the family's 1831-position model. The record is from RNAcentral. Lineage: Eukaryota; Metazoa; Nematoda; Chromadorea; Rhabditida; Onchocercidae.